Molecule: ribosomal RNA, 478 nt
Filed under: uncultured bacterium
Lineage: Bacteria
Description: partial 16S ribosomal RNA
Rfam family: Bacterial small subunit ribosomal RNA
Source: RNAcentral
GACGAACGCUGGCGGCGUGCUUAACACAUGCAAGUCGAACGGUAAGGCCCUUCGGGGUACACGAGUGGCGAACGGGUGAGUAACACGUGGGUGAUCUGCCCUGCACUUCGGGAUAAGCCUGGGAAACUGGGUCUAAUACCGGAUAGGACCACUGCCUGCAUGGGUGGUGGUGGAAAGCUUUUGCGGUGUGGGAUGGGCCCGCGGCCGAUCAGCUUGUUGGUGGGGUGAUGGCCUACCAAGGCGACGACGGGUAGCCGGCCUGAGAGGGUGACCGGCCACAGUGGGCCUGAGAUACGGGCCAGACUCAUACGGGAGGCAGCAGUGGGGAAGAUUGCACAAUGGGCGCAAGCCUGAUGCAGGGACGCCGCGUGAGGGAUGACGGCCGUCGGGUUGUAAACCUCUUCCGGCACCGACGAAGCGCAAGUGACGGUAGGUGCAGAAGAAGGACCGGCCAACUACGUGCCAGCCGCCGCCGUAA